UACGUAGGGGGCUAGCGUUGUCCGGAAUCAUUGGGCGUAAAGCGCGUGUAGGCGGUCCGGUAAGUCCGCUGUGAAAGUCGGGGGCUCAACCCUCGGAUGCCGGUGGAUACUGUCGGGCUUGAGUACGGAAGAGGCGAGUGGAAUUCCUGGUGUAGCGGUGAAAUGCGCAGAUAUCAGGAGGAACACCAAUUGCGAAGGCAGCUCGCUGGGACGUUACUGACGCUGAGACGCGAAAGCGUGGGGAGCAAACCGG
Molecule: ribosomal RNA, 253 nt
Filed under: uncultured bacterium
Lineage: Bacteria
Description: partial 16S ribosomal RNA
Rfam family: Bacterial small subunit ribosomal RNA
Source: RNAcentral